This 441-nucleotide ribosomal RNA is filed under the name uncultured bacterium. RNAcentral's name for it is "partial 16S ribosomal RNA". It matches the Rfam family "Bacterial small subunit ribosomal RNA", at positions 338 to 795 of the family's 1533-position model. The record is from RNAcentral.
CCUACGGGGGGCAGCAGUGGGGAAUAUUGGGCAAUGGGCGAAAGCCUGACCCAGCAACGCCGCGUGAAGGAAGAAGGCUUUCGGGUUGUAAACUUCUAUCGACAGGGAAGAGCAGAAGACGGUACCUGUAGAAUAAGCCACGGGAAACUACGUGCCAGCAGCCGCGGUAAUACGUAGGUGGCAAGCGUUGUCCGGUUUUACUGGGUUUAAGGGGUGCGCAGGCGGCCUGUUAAGUCAGCGGAAAAAGCCCGGGGCUAAAGCCCGGCGAGCCGUUGAAACUGGCGGGCUGGAGUUGGAGAGAGGUACGCGGAAUGCGCGGUGUAGCGGUGAAAUGCUUAGAUAUCGCGCAGAACCCCGAUUGCGAAGGCAGCGUACCGGCUCCACACUGACGCUGAGGCACGAAAGCGUGGGUAUCGAACAGGAUUAGAUACCCUAGUAGUC